This 1059-nucleotide ribosomal RNA is filed under the name Gordius attoni. Its description in RNAcentral is "eukaryotic LSU rRNA". It matches the Rfam family "Eukaryotic large subunit ribosomal RNA", at positions 1 to 853 of the family's 3401-position model. Lineage: Eukaryota; Metazoa; Nematomorpha; Gordioida; Gordea; Gordiidae. The record is from RNAcentral.
UCCGACCUCAGAUCGAACGAGAAUACCCGCCGAAUUUAAGCAUAUUAAUAAGCGGAGGAAAAGAAACUAACGAGGAUUCCUAAAGUAACGGCGAGUGAAAUAGGAAGAGUCCAGCGCCGAAUCUCCCGUUCUUCGAACGGCGAGAACUGUGGCGUGAAGGAAAACACUAUUCGGUCGUUUCGCCUUUUUUCAAGUUCGUUUGAUUGCGGCCAAUACCUAAGGAGGGUGCGAGGCCCGUGCGCGAAAAGGCGAGCGGUCGAUUCGUUUUCCUCAGAGUCGGGUUGCUCGGGAUUGCAGCCUAAAUCGGGUGGUAAACUCCAUCUAAGACUAAAUAUCAGCACGAAACCGAUAGCGAACAAGUACCGUGAGGGAAAGUUGAAAAGAACUUUGAAGAGAGAGUUCAAAAGUACGUGAAACCGCUUAAAGGUAAGCGGAAGAGCUCGAAAAGGAGGUGCGCGGUUCAGCCGGCGUGGUAGCGUACUCAGGUUCYGGGGAGAAAGGCCGUUCGCGGUCCUCCCCCGGGGUCGGUUUAAACGWGGCUGCCCGGCGCAUUCCGCGCGCUAUCGAUAUCGCGACCGAUGGUGGGUCCGUUCCCCCCGCGACGCGGGAGCCGAUUAAGGCUUCACAAGUCGCGGUCGGGCGAUCGGCAGCCCGCCAUCGAUACGACUAGACGGUGGCCUUCGGGCGUACUCUCGGUGACGCGGACGCUUUCCUGAUUCGGUUCGAUGUGACGGUUCGCCGUCGUCGGUCUUCGAAGGGGGCGUCGGUUACCAUGGUAUCAACCGUCGUUAGGUCCGCGACGUUAAUAAUUCGACGCUUUUCCGACCCGUCUUGAAACACGGACCAAGGAGUCUAACAGGUGCGCGAAUCUCGGGGAUUCUAUCGAAACCCACGGGUGUAACGAAAGUAAAGGAUUCUUCGCGAAUCCGAGGAAAGAUACCGGCUUCGGUCGGUCGCAUUUCCGUUCUGUCGCGACGGGAGAAAUCGCCGUGCGAUGGAAAAAGAGCGUACACGUUGGGACCCGAAAGAUGGUGAACUAUUCCUGGGAAGGAUGAAGCC